ACGGCUGUGGUCUAGUGGUAUGACACUGCCCUCCCAAGGCAGCGACCCGGGUUCAAAUCCCGGCAGCCGUA
Molecule: transfer RNA, 71 nt
Filed under: Candidatus Woesearchaeota archaeon
Lineage: Archaea; Nanobdellati; Candidatus Woesearchaeota
Also listed under: 1 other name
Description: tRNA-Gly
Rfam family: tRNA
About the family: Transfer RNA (tRNA) molecules are approximately 80 nucleotides in length.
Source: RNAcentral